UAGGGAAUCUUCGGCAAUGGACGAAAGUCUGACCGAGCAACGCCGCGUGAGUGAUGAAGGGUUUCGGCUCGUAAAACACUGUUGUAAGAGAAGAAUGACAUUGAGAGUAACUGUUCAAUGUGUGACGGUAUCUUGCCAGAAAGGAACGGCUAAAUACGCGCCAG
RNAcentral lists this ribosomal RNA (164 nucleotides) under uncultured bacterium. RNAcentral's name for it is "partial 16S rRNA". It matches the Rfam family "Bacterial small subunit ribosomal RNA", at positions 355 to 511 of the family's 1533-position model. The record is from RNAcentral.